GCAAAACGCGAAGAACCUUACCUGGCCUUGACAUGCCACUAACGAAGCAGAGAUGCAUUAGGUGCUCGAAAGAGAAAGUGGACACAGGUGCUGCAUGGCUGUCGUCAGCUCGUGUCGUGAGAUGUUGGGUUAAGUCCCGCAACGAGCGCAACCCUUGCCAAUAAUUGCCAUCAUUCAGUUGGGCACUUUAUUGGGACUGCCGGUGACAAACCGGAGGAAGGUGGGGAUGACGUCAAGUCCUCAUGGCCCUUAUGGCCAGGGCUUCACACGUAAUACAAUGGUCGGUACAGAGGGUAGCCAACCCGCGAGGGGGAGCCAAUCUCAGAAAGCCGAUCGUAGUCCGGAUUGCAGUCUGCAACUCGACUGCAUGAAGUCGGAAUCGCUAGUAAUCGCGGAUCAGCAUGUCGCGGUGAACACGUUCCCGGGUCUUGUACACACCG
This 440-nucleotide ribosomal RNA is filed under the name uncultured bacterium. RNAcentral describes it as "bacterial SSU rRNA". It matches the Rfam family "Bacterial small subunit ribosomal RNA", at positions 954 to 1392 of the family's 1533-position model. The record is from RNAcentral.